UGGGGGAUAUUGCACAAUGGGGGAAACCCUGAUGCAGCAACGCCGCGUGAAGGAAGAAGGUCUUCGGAUUGUAAACUUCUGUCCUCAGGGAAGAUAAUGACGGUACCUGAGGAGGAAGCUCCGGCUAACUACGUGCCAGCAGCCGCGGUAAUACGUAGGGAGCGAGCGUUGUCCGGAUUUACUGGGUGUAAAGGGUGCGUAGGCGGAUCUGCAAGUCAGUAGUGAAAUCCCAGGGCUUAACCCUGGAACUGCUAUUGAAACUGUGGGUCUUGAGUGAGGUAGAGGCAGGCGGAAUUCCCGGUGUAGCGGUGAAAUGCGUAGAGAUCGGGAGGAACACCAGUGGCGAAGGCGGCCUGCUGGGCCUCAACUGACGCUGAGGCACGAAAGCAUGGGUAGCAAACAGGAUUAGAUACC
Molecule: ribosomal RNA, 414 nt
Filed under: uncultured bacterium
Lineage: Bacteria
Description: bacterial SSU rRNA
Rfam family: Bacterial small subunit ribosomal RNA
Source: RNAcentral